RNAcentral lists this unclassified non-coding RNA (245 nucleotides) under Hevea brasiliensis (rubber tree). The record is from RNAcentral. Lineage: Eukaryota; Viridiplantae; Streptophyta; Magnoliopsida; Malpighiales; Euphorbiaceae.
ACCAAAUGAGGGACAUUUCAAGUCAAUACCAAACAAUCUACAGGAUGUAAUUGUACCACAUUUUCUCUCAUCAUCUAGACUAGGAAGCAGGAGAUCGUUCUGCUUUCCGAAUUGUGAGGACGCAAAGCUUGGAAAAGCAGGCCGAGGUGAAGCACUUUUACUGGCUUCUGUCUCAUCCAAAAGCAUAUUCAAAGAAGCGUUUACUUUAGAAGCUGACCAAAUUCCAUCGACACGAGCCUUAAAAG